This 253-nucleotide ribosomal RNA is filed under the name uncultured bacterium. RNAcentral describes it as "partial 16S ribosomal RNA". It matches the Rfam family "Bacterial small subunit ribosomal RNA", at positions 524 to 776 of the family's 1533-position model. The record is from RNAcentral.
UACGGGGGGGGCAAGCGUUGUUCGGAAUUACUGGGCGUAAAGGGCUCGUAGGCGGCCAACUAAGUCAGACGUGAAAUCCCUCGGCUUAACCGGGGAACUGCAUCUGAUACUGGAUGGCUUGAGUUCGGGAGAGGGAUGCGGAAUUCCAGGUGUAGCGGUGAAAUGCGUAGAUAUCUGGAGGAACACCGGUGGCGAAGGCGGCAUCCUGGACCGGUAUUGACGCUGAGGCGCGAAAGCGUGGGUAGCAAACAGG